GGAAGAAAACACUGGGAGAACUUUUCAUGACCUUGGAUUUGGCAAUGGAUUUUUAGAUUUGACUCUAAAUAUGUAAUCAACAAAUGUGAAAAUAGAUGUUAGACAUUUCUCCAAAGAAAAAAAUAUGAAAAGAGGCUCAAUAUCAUUAGCUAUCAGGGAAUUACAAAAUUAACUCAUAAUGAGACACACCACUUCACAUCUAGUAGGAAGGUUGUAAAAAAGAUGGGCAAUAAGUGUUGAUUAGGAUAUGGGGAAAUUGAAACCCUUAUACUUCAAUAUUGAAGUGUAAUUCCCAUAUCUUUACAUUUAUCAAUUUAUAAACUAUAUAAUUCAAUGGUUUUAAGUAGGUUCUCUGAGUUUUUUGUAACCGUCACCACAAUCAAUUUUACCCAAGAAAGAAACUCUAUAACCAUCAGCUGUCAUUCCCAAUUUCUCCCCCAGUAAACAACUAUCUGCCUCCUUCACCCUGCCCCCAAACCCCAGAUCCAGGAAAUCACUUAUUUAUUUAUUUAUCUCUAUAUGUCCCAUUCUGGCCUUCUUCCUUCUUAUCAAAUUGUUAUUAUAUAUCCUUUGGCUAACAUCUUCCAAUUCUCUUUGCCCUAACCACCAAGCCUUUAAUAACUGCCAUUCUACUUUGCCUUUUUAUGAGUUAGGGUUCCAUGUAUGAAUGAGAUCAUGUGGUAUUUGUCUUUCUGUUUCUAGCUUAUUUCACUUGAUAUAAUGUCCUCCAGUUUCAUCCAUGUUGUAAAUGCCAGGAUUUUGUUCUUUUUAAUGUUGAAUAAUAUUCCAUUACACACACACACACACACACACACAAUUUUGUUUAUGCAGUUAUCCAUUGAUGGACUGCUAGGUUGAUCCCAUGUCUUGGCUAUAGUGAAUAGUGCUGCAAUAAAUGUGGGAGUGUGGAUAUUCCUUCCAACACAUUGAUUUUAUUUUAUUUGGAUAUAUACCCAGUGGUGGGAUUGAAACUCUAUUUUUAGUAUUUUGAGCAACUGCCAUGAUGUUUUCUCUCUCUAAUGACUUCAAAUUUAUAUUUCUGCCAACAGUGUAUAAGUGUAUAAGGAUGU
Molecule: long non-coding RNA, 1070 nt
Filed under: Marmota monax (woodchuck)
Lineage: Eukaryota; Metazoa; Chordata; Mammalia; Rodentia; Sciuridae
Source: RNAcentral